Long non-coding RNA from Phyllopteryx taeniolatus (common seadragon), 1493 nucleotides. RefSeq lists it as uncharacterized. The record is from RefSeq and is a predicted model, not a curated record. Lineage: Eukaryota; Metazoa; Chordata; Actinopteri; Syngnathiformes; Syngnathidae. The transcript is spliced from 4 exons.
CGUGUUUUAGGACUGCGACGAUCAAUGGACUGAUGUUACUGCAGUCACACACCACUGUGUAGAAAUACGUUGGCACGAUGGCGACAAGCUAGGAGGAAAGACAGAGAAUGUCUGAAAUAUGGGAUCAUUUACCACUUAACAAGGACAAUAAAGUGCAAUAUGUCUACCGCAAAGCGGUUUUGAUCACCAACAUAAGGUAACGAAUCAAUGUUCGCCAAUUUAACAUACCCUACCAUUGCUAGUUUGCACUUUCAGUUGCUUUAGUGAACAAAUGGUAAGAAAACCAAACUGUAAUAAACGCAUUCAUACACAAGCUGCCGAUGGACCACUCAUGCCAAGUGACUCAACACACAGACAGGCUAACAGGUUAGCCAGAUGACAGCCAGCCAACCCUACACUCUCAUUUGCUGACGCCCACGUCACUCACCAGACCAGGCCCUGCCUUUUGAAGCCAUACACACGCAAAGUCACAGAUAGUGCAGUAGACCAUGAGGAUGGAGACCCCAAGUGGAUGAAAGAAAUACCUGCACCUCACCUGCACGUUGUGUUUAGAAUUGCAAAAUAUUUUUUUAUUCAAUUAAACAAGAUAAUGUGUUAUAAAAAUAUUUGAUGGGUGACACCCUGCUGUAUUUACUUUCUUAAAAUGGACACAGUAGUCUAGAAAAUUGACUUUAAUGGUUUGUAUACAAAUAGUUGGGUCUCUGGAGUGCCUUCCCACCCAUCAAGUGUGAAAUCAAAACACCCGUGUCAUUUUUUAAAUAUGCUUAUUUCUUAAAACGUGUCUGUGAGCGAGCUGUUCUGCACUUCCGUACCACUGUCAUGAAACAGUUUGUUUUGUUUGUUUGAUGUGGCUGUUUGCCGCAUACAUAGUGUAGUGUAUGAAAUGCUCCCUUUUUUCACACUCUGCAUACACCUGUGGGCGAGAUGACAAGAGCCUGUGAAUCCUAAUUUCUAGUCGCAAAGCUCUGCCCAUAGUCAUCAUGGUAACAACAAAGCAGGACUGGCCAUUGGCCCAAAAGUAUAUGGGGCUACAGCUGCUUCCUUGCAUAAAACGGAGUCAGCCUAUUUCAUUAAAGAAAAAGAGUAAUACACAUCCAUGUACUUACGCCACUUCAUAGUCAAAAGGUUUUUGGCACGGUUAUGCUCUCUAAUUACAGUCCUCUGUGUGUGUGUGUUUGCAGUUUGCUUGGACAGUCGUUGGGCAGUCGCAGGUCUGCUGCAAUGGCUGGAUGGCCUUCUUUUCUCCUGUCAUUGCUUCCCGCGGAACUCAAGCUGCUUCGCACACUCCCUCGCGGGUUUGCUUUGAGUCUCCUUAGAAACCAAUUGUGUUUCAUCUUCUGCUCGACUUCAAUGCCAUCUUGACAGUUGUGUAACGGAAGCGGUAUCCUCCUUGUCGGGUGCCCGAGGUGAAGGCCCGGCCUUGAGGGAACACACGUGUCCUUAUACUGCUGUGCUCUCUCAAAGACGUGCGGAAAGACAACAUGUCCUCUUCC